CGGACGGGUGAGUAACGCGUGGGUAACCUGCCUUACACAGGGGGAUAACACUUAGAAAUAGGUGCUAAUACCGCAUAAGCGCACAGCUUCGCAUGAAGCAGUGUGAAAAACUCCGGUGGUAUACGAUGGAUCCGCGUCUGAUUAGCUGGUUGGCGGGGUAACAGCCCACCAAGGCGACGAUCAGUAGCCGGCCUGAGAGGGUGAACGGCCACAUUGGGACUGAGACACGGCCCAAACUCCUACGGGAGGCAGCAG
This 255-nucleotide ribosomal RNA is filed under the name uncultured bacterium. RNAcentral describes it as "partial 16S ribosomal RNA". It matches the Rfam family "Bacterial small subunit ribosomal RNA", at positions 99 to 354 of the family's 1533-position model. The record is from RNAcentral.